This 405-nucleotide long non-coding RNA is filed under the name Monodelphis domestica (gray short-tailed opossum). RNAcentral's name for it is "lncRNA (ENSMODG00000042117.1)". The record is from RNAcentral. Lineage: Eukaryota; Metazoa; Chordata; Mammalia; Didelphimorphia; Didelphidae.
CCACGUUUCUCCAAAGCCUCUUGAAUCAGCUCGAGCCUGCUUACCUGCUUACCGCUUUGGACUUUCUUGAUUCAGAUUGCUCACCUGGUCUCAGCCCUGCCCACCCGGCCCUGCUUCUGCGCUCCUGCAAUCUGGACCUGUUUGACCCACAUCCUCUCUCCUGAUCCAAUGUCCCGGUUCCGACCCGCCCAGCCCCAGCAACUCUGGCCUCCAAGCAGAUCGCUCAUUGCCCCAGGCCCAGGACUCACUUCCACCAGCUGUGGAUCAUGGCCAGAUAUGAAGAGGAAAUGGAUCUCGUUUUUGGACAAGAUAUACAAAAGAGCCAUUUCACAGGGCCAAAGAAGCAAAGCUAAACCUGAGUUGUGCCAAAAGAACACACAGGUCAACAAAUCCAGGAAGGAUUGA